GCUGGAGACCAAAACCAGUUGGAAAUUUGGAAUGAAGAAUUCUCCCUCGUUGAAUUUGGCAUCCCUGAGGGAGAAAUCACCACAUCCUGGUGAACUGGAGCAGAACCCCGUUGCAGUGAGUUGCAAGUCUCCUCUGGCUGGUCUUUGUCCCUGAAGCCCACACUGAUGGGAGCAUCCAGGAGAUAAGAAAAUGGUGAAUUAUGUUUCGCAUCAUCUAUGGCUGGAAUUUCAGUGCUGCAGGGUCAGUUUUAAAUUAUCCCUGGAGGGUUG
This 270-nucleotide long non-coding RNA is filed under the name Chloebia gouldiae (Gouldian finch). RNAcentral's name for it is "Erythrura gouldiae (Gouldian finch) lncRNA (ENSEGOG00005012802.1)". The record is from RNAcentral. Lineage: Eukaryota; Metazoa; Chordata; Aves; Passeriformes; Passeridae.